Molecule: ribosomal RNA, 549 nt
Filed under: uncultured Glomus
Lineage: Eukaryota; Fungi; Glomeromycota; Glomeromycetes; Glomerales; Glomeraceae
Description: SSU rRNA
Rfam family: Eukaryotic small subunit ribosomal RNA
Source: RNAcentral
UUGGAGGGCAAGUCUGGUGCCAGCAGCCGCGGUAAUUCCAGCUCCAAUAGCGUAUAUUAAAGUUGUUGCAGUUAAAAAGCUCGUAGUUGAAUUUCGGGAUCAAUAUAUCGGUCGUGCCAUCGGUACGUACUGGUAUGAUUGGUUUCUCCUUUCUGACGAACCAUGAUGUCAUUAAUUUGGUGUUAUGGGAAGUUAGGACUGUUACUUUGAAAAAAUUAGAGUGUUUAAAGCAGGCUUUAGCUUGAAUACAUUAGCAUGGAAUAAUGAAAUAGGACGUUCGAACCUAUUUUGUUGGUUUCUAGGAUCAACGUAAUGAUUAAUAGGGAUAGUUGGGGGCAUUAGUAUUCAAUUGUCAGAGGUGAAAUUCUUGGAUUUAUUGAAGACUAACUACUGCGAAAGCAUUUGCCAAGGAUGUUUUCAUUAAUCAAGAACGAAAGUUAGGGGAUCGAGGACGAUCAGAUACCGUCGUAGUCUUAACCAUAAACUAUGCCGACUAGGGAUCGGAUGAUGUUAAUUUUUUAAUGACUCAUUCGGCGCCUUACGGGAAAC